RNAcentral lists this ribosomal RNA (401 nucleotides) under uncultured bacterium. Its description in RNAcentral is "bacterial SSU rRNA". It matches the Rfam family "Bacterial small subunit ribosomal RNA", at positions 358 to 773 of the family's 1533-position model. The record is from RNAcentral.
GGAAUAUUGCACAAUGGAGGAAACUCUGAUGCAGCGACGCCGCGUGAGUGAUGAAGGCCUUCGGGUCGUAAAGCUCUGUCGCAGGGGAAUAACACAAUGAACGUACCCUGCACGAAAGGCUCGGCUAACUUCGUGCCAGCAGCCGGGGUAAGACGAGGGAUCCUAGCGUUGUUCGGAAUUAUUGGGCGUAAAGCGGGUGUAGGUGGCUUUGUAAGUCAGAUGUGAAAGCCCAGGGCUCAACCCUGGAAGUGCAUUUGAUACUGCGAAGCUUGAGUGCUAGAGAGGAUAGUAGAAUUGUUGGUGUAGUGGUGAAAUACGUAGAUAUCAACAGGAAUACCGGCGGCGAAGGCGGCUAUCUGGCUAGACACUGACACUCAGACCCGAAAGCGUGGGGAUCAAAC